UACAGAGACUGCAAGCGUUAUUCGGAUUCACUGGGCGUAAAGGGUGCGCAGGCGGUCGGGUGUGUCAGAUGUGAAAUCCCGAGGCUCAACCUCGGAACUGCGUCUGAAACUACUCGACUAGAGUACUGGAGAGGGUAACGGAAUUCACGGUGUAGCAGUGAAAUGCGUAGAUAUCGUGAGGAACACCAGAGGCGAAGGCGGUUACCUGGACAGUUACUGACGCUGAUGCGCGACAGCGUGGGGAGCAAACAGG
RNAcentral lists this ribosomal RNA (253 nucleotides) under uncultured bacterium. RNAcentral's name for it is "partial 16S ribosomal RNA". It matches the Rfam family "Bacterial small subunit ribosomal RNA", at positions 524 to 776 of the family's 1533-position model. The record is from RNAcentral.